UUACUUUGUAAAGUUUUGUUACGGUUUUAAAGUGCAUGUACCUGUACCUGUAAUCACCACAGCUCUUUGGGCUGCAUUAUCAAUUUCAGGUGUUUAAUGCAUGUAGAAUCAUUCAAACUUGAAAGAGUAAAAGCCCUUACAAAUGUUUGAUGGAGAAAGUUCACUUUGUGUGCCAAAGAAAGGCUUGAUUUAUGCGGCAGACGUCGCGAAAUCAUCAAACAAACUGAGCGCGAGGGAUUACUCGCAAUCUGCACAGACUGUGCCUAUGGAGAAGCAUAUAAAUUACAUGUACACGUGCAUCGGUUGUCACGAGACAUGCUACCGGAGUUUUGAAAUGCCUGAAUGCUGCUUGAAAACAAAAGUUACACAAAACAACUAAGAUUCUCUCUCUGAAGCUUCAUCUUCCCCUAAGAAACUCUCGGCUAGAUCUUUUGGAAGAUCUUCAAGACUCUGGCAUAUCUGGUGUGUUGCCUGUUAACUUGAAUGUACAUGUAUCAUGGAGUAAAGUUGAGCUGUUCUUCACUCAACGUGGGAAAUGCGUCAAGGAUAAGAUGUUGCAGGCAGAAAUUUUUGAUGAAGGAAUGCUUUGUUAAGCAGCAGAGAGCAAAAGAGAUGAGAAUGUUUUGAUACACAUUUGGAACAAAGAUUGUGUCGCUCUGGAGGUUUGAUAUCGCACCUCUUAUUACAAAUUAUACACUCAGUUCCUUACAAGGAAAAGCAAGGGUCCUGAAGGGAAUGAACUUCAGAUGGAGCACCAAGCUAGAGGCCUACAAAAUGUUCAGCAGAGAUAGUGAUUAAUGGCCAGGAAAUCAUGAGUAUGUCAAAGAUUCCUCAACUGUUCGUGGCAAUGAUAAAAAAAAGAUGAUAAUAAAAAAAAA
Acanthaster planci (crown-of-thorns starfish) is the source of this 878-nucleotide long non-coding RNA. The record is from RefSeq and is a predicted model, not a curated record. Lineage: Eukaryota; Metazoa; Echinodermata; Asteroidea; Valvatida; Acanthasteridae.